This 473-nucleotide ribosomal RNA is filed under the name uncultured bacterium. RNAcentral's name for it is "bacterial SSU rRNA". It matches the Rfam family "Bacterial small subunit ribosomal RNA", at positions 355 to 825 of the family's 1533-position model. The record is from RNAcentral.
UGGGGAAUAUUGCGCAAUGGGGGAAACCCUGACGCAGCGACGCCGCGUGGGUGAUGAAGGCCUUCGGGUCGUAAAGCCCUGUCGUAGGGAAAGAACUGGUUGCAGGCUAAUAUCCUGCAGCCUUGACGGUACCCUACAAGAAAGCACCGGCUAACUCCGUGCCAGCAGCCGCGGUAAUACGGAGGGUGCAAGCGUUGUUCGGAUUUACUGGGCGUAAAGGGCACGUAGGCGGCAUGACAAGUCACUUGUGAAAUCUCUGGGCUUAACCCAGAACGGCCAAGUGAUACUGUCGCGCUAGAGUGCAGAAGGGGCAAUCGGAAUUCUUGGUGUAGCGGUGAAAUGCGUAGAUAUCAAGAGGAACACCUGAGGUGAAGACGGGUUGCUGGGCUGACACUGACGCUGAGGCGCGAAAGCCAGGGGAGCAAACGGGAUUAGAUACCCAAGUAGUCCCUGAGCGGGCUGGCAAGGCGCAU